UACAGAGGUCCCAAGCGUUGUUCGGAUUCACUGGGCGUAAAGGGUGCGUAGGUGGUCGGAAAAGUCUAACGUGAAAUCCCAGGGCUUAACCCUGGAACUGCGUCGGAUACUGUUCGGCUUGAGGGUUGGAGGGGGGACUGGAAUUCUCGGUGUAGCAGUGAAAUGCGUAGAUAUCGAGAGGAACACCAGUGGCGAAGGCGAGUCCCUGGACAACUCCUGACACUGAGGCACGAAAGCGAGGGGAGCAAACAGG
This 253-nucleotide ribosomal RNA is filed under the name uncultured bacterium. RNAcentral describes it as "partial 16S ribosomal RNA". It matches the Rfam family "Bacterial small subunit ribosomal RNA", at positions 524 to 776 of the family's 1533-position model. The record is from RNAcentral.